RNAcentral lists this long non-coding RNA (203 nucleotides) under Elaeis guineensis (African oil palm). RNAcentral's name for it is "long non-coding RNA (EGUI_LNC057221)". Lineage: Eukaryota; Viridiplantae; Streptophyta; Magnoliopsida; Arecales; Arecaceae. The record is from RNAcentral.
UUUAAUAUCUCAUAUCGAGCAAUUUGACUUUGUUCCCUAUAUAACUCCUUAAGAUUAAGGAGAAUAGAGGGAACAUCUAUAUCCUCAUACUACCUCUGGAGCUCGUUGUUCAUGGAGGCAAGCAUGAUGCAUUUGAUAGUCACACUGUUAUCUUUUCACAUCUUAUAUGUGAUCCUAUCCUCUUUGAAAGCAUCUUCCUCAAG